GGAAUCUUCGGCAAUGGACGAAAGUCUGACCGAGCAACGCCGCGUGAGCGAAGAAGGCCUUCGGGUCGUAAAGCUCUGUUGUUAGAGAAGAACAUGGGUGAGAGUAACUGUUCACCCCUUGACGGUAUCUAACCAGAAAGCCACGGCUAACUACGUGCCAGCAGCCGCGGUAAUACGUAGGUGGCAAGCGUUGUCCGGAAUUAUUGGGCGUAAAGCGCGCGCAGGCGGUCUCUUAAGUCUGAUGUGAAAGCCCCCGGCUCAACCGGGGAGGGUCAUUGGAAACUGGGAGACUUGAGGACAGAAGAGGAGAGUGGAAUUCCAAGUGUAGCGGUGAAAUGCGUAGAUAUUUGGAGGAACACCAGUGGCGAAGGCGGCUCUCUGGUCUGUUACUGACGCUGAGGCGCGAAAGCGUGGGGAGCAAACAGGAUUAGAUACCCUGG
This 440-nucleotide ribosomal RNA is filed under the name uncultured Brochothrix sp. RNAcentral's name for it is "bacterial SSU rRNA". It matches the Rfam family "Bacterial small subunit ribosomal RNA", at positions 358 to 790 of the family's 1533-position model. The record is from RNAcentral. Lineage: Bacteria; Bacillati; Bacillota; Bacilli; Caryophanales; Listeriaceae.